RNAcentral lists this small nuclear RNA (145 nucleotides) under Suricata suricatta (meerkat). Its description in RNAcentral is "U2 spliceosomal RNA (ENSSSUG00005008422.1)". It matches the Rfam family "U2 spliceosomal RNA". Rfam says of the family: U2 is a small nuclear RNA (snRNA) component of the spliceosome (involved in pre-mRNA splicing). Complementary binding between U2 snRNA (in an area lying towards the 5' end but 3' to hairpin I) and the branchpoint sequence (BPS) of the intron results the bulging out of an unpaired adenosine, on the BPS, which initiates a nucleophilic attack at the intronic 5' splice site, thus starting the first of two transesterification reactions that mediate splicing. Lineage: Eukaryota; Metazoa; Chordata; Mammalia; Carnivora; Herpestidae. The record is from Rfam by way of RNAcentral.
AUCGCUUCUAGGCCUUUUGGCUAAGAUCAAGCGUAGUAUCUGUUUCAUGUAAUUAGACUUAUACAGAAAUUAGAAGGUUAAGUAACAACUAGUUAAUCACCUAAUUUCACAGCUAUCUGAAAUCGUUAUAUAGCAGCUUAUCUAU